AGUUGGUGAGGUAAUGGCUCACCAAGGCGUCGACGGGUAGCCGGCCUGAGAGGGUGACCGGCCACACUGGGACUGAGACACGGCCCAGACUCCUACGGGAGGCAGCAGUGUGGAAUAUUGCACAAUGGGCGAAAGCCUGAUGCAGCAACGCCGCGUGAGGGACGACGGCCUUCGGGUUGUAAACCUCUUUUAGCAGGGAAGAAGCAAAAGUGACGGUACCUGCGGAAAAAGCACCGGCUAACUACGUGCCAGCAGCCGCGGUAAUACGUAGGGUGCAAGCGUUAUCCGGAAUUAUUGGGCGUAAAGAGCUCGUAGGCGGUUUGUCGCGUCUGCUGUGAAAACCCGAGGCUCAACCUCGGGCCUGCAGUGGGUACGGGCAGACUAGAGUGCGGUAGGGGAGAUUGGAAUUCCUGGUGUAGCGGUGGAAUGCGCAGAUAUCAGGAGGAACACCGAUGGCGAAGGCAGAUCUCUGGGCCGUAACUGACGCUGAGGAGCGAAAGGGUGGGGAGCAAACAGGCUUAGAUACCCUGGUAGUCCACCCCGUAAACGUUGGGAACUAGUUGUGGGGUCCAUUCCACGGAUUCCGUGACGCAGCUAACGCAUUAAGUUCCCCGCCUGGGGAGUACGGCCGCAAGGCUAAACUCAAAGGAAUUGACGGGGACCCGCACAAGCGGCGGAGCAUGCGGAUUAAUUCGAUGCAACGCGAAGAACCUUACCAAGGCUUGACAUAUACGAGAACGCUGCAGAAAUGUAGAACUCUUUGGACACUCGUAAACAGGUGGUGCAUGGUUGUCGUCAGCUCGUGUCGUGAGAUGUUGGGUUAAGUCCCGCAACGAGCGCAACCCUCGUUUUAUGUUGCCAGCACGUAAUGGUGGGAACUCAUGGGAUACUGCCGGGGUCAACUCGGAGGAAGGUGGGGAUGACGUCAAAUCAUCAUGCCCCUUAUGUCUUGGGCUUCACGCAUGCUACAAUGGCCGGUACAAAGGGCUGCAAUACCGUAAGGUGGAGCGAAUCCCAAAAAGCCGGUCCCAGUUCGGAUUGAGGUCUGCAACUCGACCUCAUGAAGUCGGAGUCGCUAGUAAUCGCAGAUCAGCAACGCUGCGGUGAAUACGUUCCCGGGUCUUGUACACACCGCCCGUCAAGUCAUGAAAGUCGGUAACACCUGAAGCCGGUGGCCCAACCCUUGUGGAGGGAGCCGUCGAAGGUGGGAUCGGUAAUUAGGACUAAGUCGGAACAAGGUAGCCGUACCGGAGGUGCGGCUG
RNAcentral lists this ribosomal RNA (1262 nucleotides) under metagenome. RNAcentral's name for it is "bacterial SSU rRNA". It matches the Rfam family "Bacterial small subunit ribosomal RNA", at positions 247 to 1520 of the family's 1533-position model. The record is from RNAcentral.